GGACAUAGAGCCAUUGACAACAACUCUCUGUCUGUGUCCACACAGUCAAUUCCUUAUCCAACAAAGAGUCCACCCUUUAAAUCCAUGUGUCUCCAUUUGGAGAUGAGGAAGUUGUGUGGGACCAUGCCAAAAGCUUGAUAGGAGUCUAGGUAGAUGACAUCAGUCAUUCUUCCCUUGUCAACUAUUGUAGUCACUCUAUCAUAGAAGGCCACCAGAUUGUUCAGAUCUUGCUUGUGUUUUAUUCAUAAGUAAUGAAAGAGCAAAGGAAGAACUUAAGAGACUAGAAAGAAAACGGCUGUCCCAUCAUGGUCUUAGAAGUUCAACUUUAGUCUUCUUUCGGUAACCUCACCUGACAAGACAGGACAAGGGUUUGCUAUCCAGCAAGAAGUUUGCAAACUGGAGCAGAUAAAAGCUGCUAUUGAAUGCUUCAACACAUACAAGAAAUAAAUAAACCAAGGAAAAUGCAAUGAGAACUGGAAUCUGAUUUCUCCUCCAGGCAGUGUAAAUAGUAUCUAUAUGACAUCUACAGAAUGAAACAAGGAAUAUGAACUCCAGAGAAAACAGAAGUAGUCUAUGGAACAUAAAAAGUUUUAAGAACUCCUUUUGCAUGCAAGUCUCAUUCAGUGUUCAGGAUGGCUGUGGAGGUGAAUCAGGGUUGAAGAGUGAGCAGUCAAGGGAUCAGCAACUAUGUUCAUUGAAGAAGCUGCUUUUUCAUUGUUCGCUAAAAAAAGAACAAUAUGACUUGUAGAUCCAACAGCAUCUUGAAUUAAAUUAGAAGAAUUCUGGAUACUCCAAGCCUCCAACAAAUCUGAUGCUAUACAGGACUCUAAGAGACAAUAACUAAUUUGGUACUUUCCA
Molecule: long non-coding RNA, 858 nt
Organism: Pipra filicauda (Wire-tailed manakin)
Lineage: Eukaryota; Metazoa; Chordata; Aves; Passeriformes; Pipridae
Exons: 4
Source: RefSeq, a predicted model, not a curated record